This 473-nucleotide ribosomal RNA is filed under the name uncultured bacterium. RNAcentral describes it as "partial 16S ribosomal RNA". It matches the Rfam family "Bacterial small subunit ribosomal RNA", at positions 28 to 507 of the family's 1533-position model. The record is from RNAcentral.
GAUAAACGCUGGCGGCGCACAUAAGACAUGCAAGUUGAACGGACUUAAUCGAAAUAUUUCUAUUUUGAAGCGGUUAGUGGCGGACUGGUGAGUAACGCGUAAGGAACCUGCCUAUUAGAGGGGAAUAACAGUGAGAAAUCAUUGCUAAUACCGCAUAUGCCAUAGAUAUCACAUGAUAACAGUGGGAAAGGAGCAAUCCGCUAAUAGAUGGCCUUGCGUCUGAUUAGAUAGUUGGUGGGGUAACGGCCUACCAAGUCGACGAUCAGUAGCCGGACUGAGAGGUUGAACGGCCACAUUGGGACUGAGAUACGGCCCAGACUCCUACGGGAGGCAGCAGUCGGGAAUAUUGCGCAAUGGAGGAAACUCUGACGCAGUGACGCCGCGUAUAGGAAGAAGGUUUUCGGAUUGUAAACUAUUGUCGUUAGGGAAGAGAAAGGACAGUACCUAAGGAGGAAGCUCCGGCUAACUACGUG